GCUGGGCGUGGUGGCUCACGCCUGUAAUCCAGCACUUUGGGAGGCCGAGGUGGGCGGAUCACCUGAGGUCAGGAGUUUGAGACCAGCCUGACCAACAUGGUGAAACCCCAUCUCUA
Molecule: signal recognition particle RNA, 116 nt
Filed under: Gorilla gorilla gorilla (western lowland gorilla)
Lineage: Eukaryota; Metazoa; Chordata; Mammalia; Primates; Hominidae
Description: Metazoan signal recognition particle RNA
Rfam family: Metazoan signal recognition particle RNA
About the family: The signal recognition particle (SRP) is a universally conserved ribonucleoprotein.
Source: Rfam by way of RNAcentral